GAUCUGAGCCGAUGACUUCCUUUGC
This 25-nucleotide non-coding RNA is filed under the name Rattus norvegicus (Norway rat). The record is from RNAcentral. Lineage: Eukaryota; Metazoa; Chordata; Mammalia; Rodentia; Muridae.